GAUGCUGUCUUGCGUUCUGGAUUAGAAAAAGGUUCAAAUCUAACCAUAUGGCACUACCAGCAAUAAAGUUUUUCCCUCUUUCCCACCAACGCACCUGUGUCUAGUAUGUUCAACUGUUAUUGCCUUUAGAUUUGAUAAUAUGUAGGAUAUCAUUUAGCAUAAUAGUGUCAUAAUCUGAUCUACCCAGAUAAGGAUUACAGAA
This 202-nucleotide long non-coding RNA is filed under the name Bos taurus (domestic cattle). Its description in RNAcentral is "long non-coding RNA NONBTAT016463". Lineage: Eukaryota; Metazoa; Chordata; Mammalia; Artiodactyla; Bovidae. The record is from RNAcentral.